Molecule: unclassified non-coding RNA, 535 nt
Filed under: Hevea brasiliensis (rubber tree)
Lineage: Eukaryota; Viridiplantae; Streptophyta; Magnoliopsida; Malpighiales; Euphorbiaceae
Source: RNAcentral
CCAAUCCAGAAUUCAUCUGCGCUAUAACUGCCACCACAACUCCCACAUAGGGUUUCGUUAUGUUCAUCUUCAUCAGCCUCAUAAACCUCUUCUGUAAGCUUAGGAUUGCUCUUCACUGCUUGAACAUCGCUUGAUCUCUUUACACUGCCUCUUGAUUUGCUUCCACUAUCUGCACUGGGCUUUUCUUUUACAGGCUUCCUUCCUGUUACAACCUCAAAGACAGUGGGCAGAUCAUUGAUCAAGUUAAAUAGCCGUUUCCUCUCAUUGCGAUCAAGACGAGCUCCAAAAUAGAAUGCCACAGAAAUCAACCAUGAAUCACUAUGCACGGCAACCAGUGAAAGCCAGUCUUUUCGGUCCAUGCCAUCUCUUGCGAAAUUGAUUCCAAGGGCUGGUUCAGGAAGCUCAGGUGGAACUUCCUCAGCUGGCAGAUUUACUUCCCAGGUUUCGUUUGGAUGCCCAUAUAGACAUAAAUUCUCCUUUUCUGGAUCACAGAGUGCAUAGAAUUCAUCCACAUCGUUAGUUAAAGCACGAACAA